AGAAAACCAUUAAGAAUUUAUUAUAAUAAGUGGAAUUAAGGAAAAUUAGAAAAGAAAAAGAAAUCUACAAUCCCUCUCUCCGAACAAGUGUUAUCACCCUCUCUCUCCCUAAUCAUCGCUCUCUUUGUCUCUAAUAUUUCCUAUGAAGAACUCUUCUCUCCAUCGCCUCCCUCUCUUCCUCUCUUCUACCUUACAUAAGUCUAUCAUUAAAUUAGAAAUCAAAAAAUAAACAAACAUCGGUCAUCCCUCAAUAACAAGUGAACAUAACCUCGAUUCGAAAUUUGGACAGCGAUUUUAAUCGACCAAACAAAAUCCAGCAGUGAAGAUGAUGAGAAAGUGUACCAAUUUGAAGCUUUCGUCUAUCCAGAUCCUGAUGAUCUUUCACGCGGUUCUUUACGCGAUUCACGGUCGUGGGUGCUCACCGAGGGGUUCAGUCCGACUACCUCAGAGUUUCGUCGAGAAACUUUGAAUAGUUUUUGUGACAUAGACUUUGAGGAAUUCAGGUAAGGCUUUUCGGCAGAGUAACAAUAGGGGUCUCCCUCUCUAAAUGACUCCCAACACUUAUUUAUAGAGCCUUCUCCUCGAAUCCUCGAAUCAUGAGUUGUCAAAUCUUAUCAAAAUCAUUCCGUUAAGGGGGAAUUUUUGCUGGAUUUCGUGGGGACCAAAGGUGUGGUUUUCUGUCCUGUCAACUGAUAUGACAGAGAGGCUUCUAUUCAUAAUUCCAAGAGUUUGUAAUUUCUCCUGGUUACCUUGGCUACGUGAUGUUACUGUGCUUGUAACGAGCUGCUGCGCCACUCAUGUUGGUCUGAUGGAUAAAAGUGCCUCCAGGAUACUGUCAUGGAUACUGGGGUGAAUGGUUGAUGAAGAGUGUGCACCAACUUGGUUGUGAUUGAAUGGUGACCUCAUGGUCUUUGGAUGCCCAUAUCCAAUCCCAGCAGGUGUUAAUUGUGCAGUCCAAGCUCCUGAUUAUAUUGCCUUGACAUAUGUUGCGGAAGAGGCGGUGGCUUUUUACACUAGCAACUCCAAUUUUGUUGGUUGUUUUGCUCAGGUUGGACAUGUUCUAUUUGUAUUCGGAAUUUGGUCUGCAGUUAUGAUUUUGAAAAAUUCCGUUUUGGUUGCAGGUUCUAUAUCGGUUGUGAUUUACCAUUUCAGAACAAUCUGUAAGGUUCUUUUAAAACUUGUAGCUUUCCAUAUGCUUCUUCGCACUUUUAUCCUGGCGCAUCUGUAUUCCGAUUCACAUUAUCGGUGUAGCGCUGCUAGCUCUUGGAUCUAUAUGUCACCGCUUGAUAUGGGGGAGAAUCUUAUACUGUCUUGUGGAAACUAAUGCAAGGAAUGGCCUGAGAAACUGAUGUGGCCAGCGGAUGCAUACCUUUAGUUUUUAAUUCUUUCACUUGGCUUGACUGUAAUGUAACUUAAGUCACAGGGUUGUUAUGAACGGUC
Long non-coding RNA from Lathyrus oleraceus (garden pea), 1440 nucleotides. RefSeq lists it as uncharacterized. The transcript is spliced from 4 exons. Lineage: Eukaryota; Viridiplantae; Streptophyta; Magnoliopsida; Fabales; Fabaceae. The record is from RefSeq and is a predicted model, not a curated record.